UUGCCUCUUGGACUGGGACAACUGUUGGAAACGACAGCUAAUACCGGAUAUUAUGAGAUUCUCGCAUGAGAAACUUAUGAAAGCUAUAUGCGCCAAGAGAGAGCCUUGCGUUCCAUUAGCUAGUUGGUGGGGUAACGGCCCACCAAGGCGACGAUGGAUAGCCGGCCUGAGAGGGUGAACGGCCACAAGGGGACUGAGACACGGCCCUUACUCCUACGGGAGGCAGCAGUGGGGAAUAUUGGACAAUGGGCCACAAGCCUGAUCCAGCAAUUCUGUGUGCACGAUGGAGGUCUUCGGAUUGUAAAGUGCUUUCAGUUGGGAAGAAGAAAGUGACGGUACCAACAGAAGAAGCGACGGCUAAAUACGUGCCAGCAGCCGCGGUAAUACGUAUGUCGCAAGCGUUAUCCGGAUUUAUUGGGCGUAAAGCGCGUCUAGGCGGAAAAAUAAGUCUGAUGUUAAAAUGCGGGGCUCAACUCCGUAUUGCGUUGGAAACUGUUUUUCUAGAGUACUGGAGAGGUGGGCGGAACUACAAGUGUAGAGGUGAAAUUCGUAGAUAUUUGUAGGAAUGCCGAUGGAGAAGUCAGCUCACUGGACAGAUACUGACGCUGAAGCGCGAAAGCGUGGGGAGCAA
RNAcentral lists this ribosomal RNA (631 nucleotides) under uncultured bacterium. Its description in RNAcentral is "bacterial SSU rRNA". It matches the Rfam family "Bacterial small subunit ribosomal RNA", at positions 126 to 771 of the family's 1533-position model. The record is from RNAcentral.